CCCCAGUAGCGGCGAGCGAACGGGGAGCAGCCCAGAGUCUGAAUCAGCUUGUGUGUUAGUGGAACGGUCUGGAAAGUCCGACGGUACAGGGUGAUAGUCCCGUACACCAAAAUGCACAGGCUGUGAACUCGAAGAGUAGGGCGGGACACGUGGUAUCCUGUCUGAAUAUGGGGGGACCAUCCUCCAAGGCUAAAUACUCCUGACUGACCGAUAGUGAACCAGUACCGUGAGGGAAAGGCGA
RNAcentral lists this ribosomal RNA (241 nucleotides) under Klebsiella pneumoniae subsp. pneumoniae. RNAcentral describes it as "partial 23S ribosomal RNA". It matches the Rfam family "Bacterial large subunit ribosomal RNA", at positions 238 to 517 of the family's 2925-position model. Lineage: Bacteria; Pseudomonadati; Pseudomonadota; Gammaproteobacteria; Enterobacterales; Enterobacteriaceae. The record is from RNAcentral.